RNAcentral lists this ribosomal RNA (492 nucleotides) under uncultured bacterium. Its description in RNAcentral is "bacterial SSU rRNA". It matches the Rfam family "Bacterial small subunit ribosomal RNA", at positions 29 to 507 of the family's 1533-position model. The record is from RNAcentral.
AUGAACGCUAGCUACAGGCUUAACACAUGCAAGUCGAGGGGCAGCAUGGUCUUAGCUUGCUAAGGCCGAUGGCGACCGGCGCACGGGUGAGUAACACGUAUCCAACCUGCCGUCUACUCUUUGGACAGCCUUCUGAAAAGGAAGAUUUAAUACAAGAUGGCAUCAUGAGUCCGCAUGUUCACAUGAUUAAAGGUAUUCCGGUAGACGAUGGGGAUGCGUUCCAUUAGAUAGUAGGCGGGGUAACGGCCCACCUAGUCUUCGAUGGAUAGGGGUUCUGAGAGGAAGGUCCCCCACAUUGGAACUGAGACACGGUCCAAACUCCUACGGGAGGCAGCAGUGAGGAAUAUUGGUCAAUGGGCGAGAGCCUGAACCAGCCAAGUAGCGUGAAGGAUGACUGCCCUAUGGGUUGUAAACUUCUUUUAUAAAGGAAUAAAGUCGGGUAUGCAUACCCGUUUGCAUGUACUUUAUGAAUAAGGAUCGGCUAACUCCGUG